Molecule: non-coding RNA, 302 nt
Organism: Aegilops tauschii subsp. strangulata
Lineage: Eukaryota; Viridiplantae; Streptophyta; Magnoliopsida; Poales; Poaceae
Source: RefSeq, a predicted model, not a curated record
GAGGCACCGGCGAGAGGCACGACAAUAGACCACAUUAGGGCCUUCCCAUAAAAGGCAAAUGUGGUUGCACUGGAAAAAGCCCGGUUCGGUGGCACCUGACCAAAUUAAUGACGGAAUUUAACCCCAAAAUAUAAUAGUAAUGACUGAUACUCCGAUAUCAUCUAUCAACCUAUAAUCCAAGUCAUAGCAAUAUCCAACAAAUAAUCCAAGCAUAAUCUCAUCAUCUCAAAAUACUCCAAGGGUAGCACAACACUACUGUCAUGAUGAAUCCGAAAACAAUAAUCCUACUACUCCAAUAACAA